RNAcentral lists this ribosomal RNA (481 nucleotides) under uncultured bacterium. RNAcentral's name for it is "partial 16S ribosomal RNA". It matches the Rfam family "Bacterial small subunit ribosomal RNA", at positions 30 to 506 of the family's 1533-position model. The record is from RNAcentral.
AUUGAACGCUGGCGGCAUGCCUUACACAUGCAAGUCGAACGGUAACGGGCCUUCGGGUGCCGCCGAGUGGCGAACGGGUGAGUAAUACAUCGGAACGUGCCCGAUCGUGGGGGAUAACGAGGCGAAAGCUUUGCUAAUACCGCAUACGAUCUACGGAUGAAAGCAGGGGACCGCAAGGCCUUGCGCGGACGGAGCGGCCGAUGGCAGAUUAGGUAGUUGGUGGGAUAAAAGCUUACCAAGCCGACGAUCUGUAGCUGGUCUGAGAGGAUGAUCAGCCACACUGGGACUGAGACACGGCCCAGACUCCUACGGGAGGCAGCAGUGGGGAAUUUUGGACAAUGGGCGCAAGCCUGAUCCAGCCAUGCCGCGUGCAGGAUGAAGGCCUUCGGGUUGUAAACUGCUUUUGUACGGAACGAAAAGCCUUCUUUUAAUACAGGAGGGUCAUGACGGUACCGUAAGAAUAAGCACCGGCUAACUACGU